GUGUGAGGGAAAUGGGUUUAAAGGCAGAUUAAGUUAGGAAGGUGUGAGGGAAAUGGGUUAAAAGGCAGAUUAAGUUAGGAAGGUGUGAGGGAAAUGGGUUUAAAGGCUCUGAAUACGUGUUUGAUUUCAACAUUCUGACAAAGGAGCAGUAGAAAAUACAAACAUUUAGGAAAAGUCAGGGAGCAGGAGGUAGGUUUUUUGGGUUGUCUGAUUCUAGUGUUAAAAGACAAUUCUGCCACUUUUCAACCUCAUAUUCAUCCUCUCCAGCACCAAACAGAAUGUUUAUUUGUCAAAAUGGCACAUUUCUAUGAUCUGUAGUUAAAAAGAUAAGUAGACAAGUCUUUAAAAAAUGAUCUGUGACAUAAAAGUUAAAAACUCAUUUUCCAAACCUGCAGUAGUUUUCUGGCCCCAUGGAGGGUAUUUUAUUGCUCCCCACACCUGAUCAUCUAAUUGUGUUUGAAAAUCACUGCUUUUAAAAUGAUUAAACUUUUGAUGAUGUCAUCAGGUAGAACUUUUUAACUUUAUAUUUUUUCUUCAAAACUUCAAAAUGAACCAUUUACAUUUAUAUUCAUUUCUGAUGUUAUUUUAUUUGUACGGCUGAAUAGGACCUUUAAAGGUAGUGUUUUAUAUAUAUUCUGAUGUUAUUUUAUUUUUAUGGCUGAAUAGGACCUUUAAAUGUAGUGUUUUAUAUAUAUUCUGAUGUUAUUUUAUUUUUAUGGCUGAAUAGGACCUUUAAAUGUAGUGUUUUAUAUAUAUUCUGAUGUUAUUUUAUUUUUAUGGCUGAAUAGGACCUUUAAAGGUAGUGUGUUUUAUAUAAUUAGCCUCCACAGCAACAUGAACACCUGAAUACUUUCACAUACAAACCAGAGGAGGCUGGUGGAGGAGCUAUAGGAGGACAGGCUCAGUGUAAAGACUGGAAUGGAAUAAAUGGAACAUCAAACACUUAAUUAAUUUAUUCCAUUUCAGCCAUAAAAAUGAACAAGUCCUCCUAUAACUCCUCCUAUAGCUCCUCCCACCAGCCUAUAGCUCCUCCCACCAGCCUAUAGCUCCUCCCGCCAGCCUAUAACUCCUCCCACCAGCCUCCUCUUGGAAAUGUCUCUGUUCUGUUAAAAGAGAAGUUGAGAAUACCACAUGUUGAUUCUGUUGUAUCUACAUUAAACCACAUGUUGAUUCUGUUGUAUCUACAUAUAUCUACAUUAAACCACAUGUUGAUUCUGUUGUAUCUACAUGUAUCUACAUUAAACCACAUGUUGAUUCUGUUGUAUCUACAUUAAACCACAUGUUGAUUCUGUUGUAUCUACAUAUAUCUACAUUAAACCACAUGUUGAUUCUGUUGUAUCUACAUGUAUCUACAUUAAACCACAUGUUGAUUCUGUUGUAUCUACAUGUAUCUACAUUAAACCACAUGUUGAUUCUGUUGUAUCUACAUGUAUCUACAUUAAACCACAUGUUGAUUCUGUUGUAUCUACAUUAAACCACAUGUUGAUUCUGUUGUAUGUACAUGUAUCUACAUUAAACCACAUGUUGAUUCUGUUGUAUCUACAUAUAUCUACAUUAAACCACAUGUUGAUUCUGUUGUAUCUACAUUAAACCACAUGUUGAUUCUGUUGUAUCUACAUAUAUCUACAUUAAACCACAUGUUGAUUCUGUUGUAUCUACAUUAAACCACAUGUUGAUUCUGUUGUAUGUACAUGUAUCUACAUUAAACCACAUGUUGAUUCUGUUGUAUCUACAUUAAACCACAUGUUGAUUCUGUUGUAUCUACAUUAAACCACAUGUUGAUUCUGUUGUAUCUACA
Molecule: long non-coding RNA, 1798 nt
Organism: Oncorhynchus tshawytscha (Chinook salmon)
Lineage: Eukaryota; Metazoa; Chordata; Actinopteri; Salmoniformes; Salmonidae
Source: Ensembl